RNAcentral lists this small nuclear RNA (384 nucleotides) under Pteropus alecto (black flying fox). Its description in RNAcentral is "7SK RNA". It matches the Rfam family "7SK RNA". Rfam says of the family: 7SK was discovered as an abundant small nuclear RNA in the mid-70s but a possible function has only recently been suggested. Two independent studies have found that 7SK RNA binds the CDK9/cyclin T complex (known as elongation factor P-TEFb). P-TEFb activates transcription by phosphorylating the C-terminal domain of RNA polymerase II. The record is from Rfam by way of RNAcentral. Lineage: Eukaryota; Metazoa; Chordata; Mammalia; Chiroptera; Pteropodidae.
GGAUGUAAGGGCGAUCUGGCUGUGACAUCUGUCGCCCCAUUGAUCGCCAGGGUUCCUCACCGUUCCAUGUGCAUCCCUCCCAAAGCUAAACGCUCGGUGGAAGAGGACAGUUGAUUCGGCUGAUCUGGCUGGCUAGGCAGGUGUCACCUUCCUUCCUCACCGCUCCAUGUGCAUCCCUCCCAAAGCUAAACACUCGGUGGAAGAGGACGACCUUCCUUGAUAGAGGAGAGGACCGUUCUUCAGUCAAGGGUAUAUGAGUAGCUGCGCUCCCCUGCUAGAACCUCCAAACAAACUCUCAAGAGAUCUGCCUUGAACUGGGUAAUUAAACCUCCAGUCAACACCUUCUCUCCUUUCCAACUACAAAGCAAGGUUAAGUAGGAGAAG